UACAGAGGGUGCAAGCGUUAAUCGGAAUUACUGGGCGUAAAGCGUGCGUAGACGGUUAUCUAAGUCGGGUGUGAAAGCCCCGGGCUCAACCUGGGAAUUGCAUUCGAGACUGAAUAGCUAGGGUUCGGAAGAGGGAAGCGGAAUUUCCGGUGUAGCGGUGAAAUGCGUAGAUAUCGGAAGGAACACCAGUGGCGAAAGCGGCUUCCUGGUCCAGAACCGACGUUCAGGCACGAAAGCGUGGGGAGCAAACAGGAUUAGAAACCCCCGUAGUCC
RNAcentral lists this ribosomal RNA (273 nucleotides) under uncultured bacterium. RNAcentral describes it as "partial 16S ribosomal RNA". It matches the Rfam family "Bacterial small subunit ribosomal RNA", at positions 524 to 796 of the family's 1533-position model. The record is from RNAcentral.